CUUUAUUUGAAUUUCAAAGUCACAGUUAAUUCCUCCCAAAGUAAUAGACAGAUACCAUCUGAGCCAUAAUUGCGAAUUUUGUUUUUCCUGAAAACACCCAUCAAAGGCAGACAGUUGCCCCAAGCAGUACGGGAGAGAGUGUUUGGGAAAUGUGGAGAGAUUUGGAAAAGUUUAGGUGUAGAUAACAUCUGAGCUAAUUGUAAAGCAUUGUGAACAGGCAUUACUUGAAUAAGAAAAGGUGGGAAGAAGCUUCAGAAGGAGGGUCACUCAACAGAUACUUCCUACAUUCUGUUCAGAGAUUUCUUAGGAAGCAUUAAGUUUGGUUGUUCACACAUACCCAAAUGGCUUUGACCCUGGCCUUAUUGGUUGUAUUCUGCCCAGCAGCUCAUUGAAAGGAGGCAUUAGAUAUCUGGAGGAUGACAGCACUUCUGUUUCCUUGGGGAAAUUAUGCACCAGGAUUCUGAGGAGGUCAGUGUUACCCCGUCCCCACCUGGCCGGCUGGCACUCCCCGGCUAGGUGAUCAGAACUGAUUUCGAAGAAUGACCUUCAGCACAGAUGAGGUGAGUCAUUGCCCUGUCUGCCUGAGAAGAGCUCUGGCAAAGAAUUUAGGCUCUUCCCAUUUGUGGGAGAGCAGUUUCCUUUUAAGUUCAGAAUGCUUUAUGAAUUAACUGCGUGUGAGAGAGAAAGACAGAGGAAGAAGAAGAGAGAGGGCGGGAAAGAGGGAACGGGGGAGAAGAGAGGAAGAGGAACUUGGGCUCUGCCACAAUCCUUCGGAUGAGGAGCAUCACGUUGAGGCUACGCACCCUGGCUUUAGUCUUCCCUGGACGGCUGCUAGGAGGAAUUGGCCCUCAAGAGAGUUUGGUUCCUACCUCGGUACUGCAGUCAGCAGCUGGGAAUCCUUGAUGAAACCAUUUACUUGGCCAAAGCUGAGUUUUCUCAUCUGUAAAAUGAGACAGACACAACAAGUUUUUCAUGUCUUUUUGUGAGUAUUAAAUGAAAUAGUAUUUGUAUUUCAAUUGCUACACCCUCUGCGAGGCUCAUAAUAACUGUUCAACAUAAGACAGUUGAUUAUUGGAUGAUUGAUUUGGUUUUUUAAAAAUGUUAUUGAUUUUUACCUACACCCCUUCUCAUCACUGAGUCAAGUAGGAAAUGCCACCGAUUUCUUUUUGUUUUUAAUUCUGAUUGGAUUUAAUACAAAAGCACAAGAAUAUAAUAGAUAUGAAAUUGCAGCCACAUUUCAUAAAAAUGUAAAUGAAUAGCUAUAAUGGCAUACCUUUCUCACAGAUACUUAGCUAGUAUCAGCACCUCCAGAAUUUCAUCCUCAUUCUGUGCAUGGCACUUCCCAAUCCUGCGUGUUUUAUCUUGGGAUAAAUAGUUUCUCAGGGCUUGUCUGAUACCCUAGGAAGUUUUGCAGGAAGUGAUUUACUAGCCUUUCUUUUGCAACAACUAACUACUCUAAUAACCAAUAUGCAAAGAACCACUUAUAACAUCUCGAAGAAAAGACUCCUAUUUACCCAUUUUAAUAUGCUGAUCUUACUUUUAUAAUUCUCU
Molecule: long non-coding RNA, 1551 nt
Filed under: Mustela putorius furo (domestic ferret)
Lineage: Eukaryota; Metazoa; Chordata; Mammalia; Carnivora; Mustelidae
Description: lncRNA (ENSMPUG00000027659.1)
Source: RNAcentral